RNAcentral lists this ribosomal RNA (255 nucleotides) under uncultured bacterium. Its description in RNAcentral is "partial small subunit ribosomal RNA". It matches the Rfam family "Bacterial small subunit ribosomal RNA", at positions 26 to 286 of the family's 1533-position model. The record is from RNAcentral.
AGGACGAACGCUGGCGGCGUGCUUAACACAUGCAAGUCGAGCGGAAAGGCCCUUCGGGGUACUCGAGCGGCGAACGGGUGAGUAACACGUGGGCAACCUGCCCCUAGCACUGGGAUAACUCCGGGAAACCGGGGCUAAUACCGGAUAUGACCUUUGAGGGCAUCCUCGAAGGUGUAAAGGAUUCUGGCUAGGGAUGGGCCCGCGGCCUAUCAGCUUGUUGGUGGGGUAACGGCCUACCAAGGCGACGACGGGUAG